RNAcentral lists this ribosomal RNA (492 nucleotides) under uncultured bacterium. Its description in RNAcentral is "partial 16S ribosomal RNA". It matches the Rfam family "Bacterial small subunit ribosomal RNA", at positions 29 to 507 of the family's 1533-position model. The record is from RNAcentral.
AGUGAACGCUGGCGGUAGGCCUAACACAUGCAAGUCGAACGGCAGCACAGUAAGAGCUUGCUCUUACGGGUGGCGAGUGGCGGACGGGUGAGGAAUACAUCGGAAUCUACUUUUUCGUGGGGGAUAACGUAGGGAAACUUACGCUAAUACCGCAUACGACCUACGGGUGAAAGCAGGGGAUCUUCGGACCUUGCGCGAUUGAAUGAGCCGAUGCCGGAUUAGCUAGUUGGCGGGGUAAAGGCCCACCAAGGCGACGAUCCGUAGCUGGUCUGAGAGGAUGAUCAGCCACACUGGAACUGAGACACGGUCCAGACUCCUACGGGAGGCAGCAGUGGGGAAUAUUGGACAAUGGGCGCAAGCCUGAUCCAGCCAUGCCGCGUGGGUGAAGAAGGCCUUCGGGUUGUAAAGCCCUUUUGUUGGGAAAGAAAAGCAGCAUGUUAAUACCCCGCUGUUCUGACGGUACCCAAAGAAUAAGCACCGGCUAACUUCGUG